RNAcentral lists this ribosomal RNA (301 nucleotides) under uncultured bacterium. RNAcentral's name for it is "partial 16S ribosomal RNA". It matches the Rfam family "Bacterial small subunit ribosomal RNA", at positions 509 to 808 of the family's 1533-position model. The record is from RNAcentral.
CAGUAGCCACGGUAAUACGGAGGGUGCAAGCGUUAAUCGGAAUUACUGGGCGUAAAGCGCACGCAGGCGGUCUGACAAGUCAGAUGUGAAAUCCCCGGGCUUAACCUGGGAACUGCAUUUGAAACUGUCAGGCUGGAGUCUUGUAGAGGGGGGUGGAAUUCCAGGUGUAGCGGUGAAAUGCGUAGAGAUCUGGAGGAAUACCGGUGGCGAAGGCGGCCCCCUGGACAAAGACUGACGCUCAGGUGCGAAAGCGUGGGGAGCAAACAGGAUUAGAUACCCGAGUAGUCCCUGUCUCUAUACA